UGGGGGAUAUUGCACAAUGGGCGAAAGCCUGAUGCAGCGACGCCGCGUGGGGGAUGAAGGCCUUCGGGUUGUAAACUUCUUUUGCUCUGAACAAGGCAUGCUAAUGGGUGUGUUGAGUGUAGGGGUUGAUUAGCGCCGGCUAACUACGUGCCAGCAGCCGCGGUAAUACGUAGGGCGCGAGCGUUGUCCGGAAUUAUUGGGCGUAAAGGGAUUGUAGGUGGCUGGUUGCGUCUGUCGUGAAAGCUCAUGGCUUAACUGUGGGUUGGCGGUGGGUACGGGCUGGCUUGAGUGCAGUAGGGGAGGCUGGAAUUCCUGGUGUAGCGGUGGAAUGCGCAGAUAUCAGGAGGAAUACCGGUGGCGGAGGCGGGUCUCUGGGCUGUUACUGACACUGAGGAGCGAAAGCAUGGGGAGCGAACAGG
Molecule: ribosomal RNA, 419 nt
Filed under: bacterium
Lineage: Bacteria
Description: partial 16S ribosomal RNA
Rfam family: Bacterial small subunit ribosomal RNA
Source: RNAcentral